Molecule: long non-coding RNA, 1768 nt
Organism: Dermacentor albipictus
Lineage: Eukaryota; Metazoa; Arthropoda; Arachnida; Ixodida; Ixodidae
Source: RefSeq, a predicted model, not a curated record
UAGCUUUGCCGUUCCCAUAGCCAGGACUCCAAUUUAACCCACCGUAGCGAGGAUUCCCGCACCCACAACGUGCUCAUCAUCGCACUGAUCGGCGCAGCUCUGCCCGCUACCAUCUCGGCUGUCCAACACGCAACUUCAAACUGCCUGGAACCGUUUCUUGGCCGUGCCCCUGCUGUCUAUCGCCAAGUCACGCUACCCCCCACCCCCUACGCUUCUACUAGCGCCGCCUGUGACGAGCGUCAUCAGCCAUACCACCUGGGAGCUGCCUGCGUCAGCAACAUCUGGCAGAUCACCUAUAAAAGUCCAACGCCGUCACGCGCCAACCUGUGGGCUCGGUGGCUGUGCCAUGAUACAGUCCACUAAACCGCUGCUGUUUAAUAGGCAGCGCAGAAAUUCAAUAAGAGGAAGGAAAGACGACCCAUGGGGAGGAGGCAACCGGCUGUUAGCAGAUUCUCCCCGGAAAUAUUGCCUACGACUGCGGGUGCCUUUGCUAGACUUGAUGCCCCAAGAGCACCAACGCCAUUUCGGAAAAGACGGACCCUGUUUGGCCCCUGUGUAGAGUGCUGUGGGGGAGUGCUGUGGGGGAAAAAGGAGUGCUGUGGGGGAAAAGCCCGAGCAACCAUGUCCUUUUACGUGAAGCAUACUAGGCUAAGCGGCCGGCGAAUCUAUUAAGCCCGAGUGGCUGACAGUCCGAGUGAUUGAUUACUAUUGAACGCUUUUCGAGUGUCCGGCUGUGUCAGUCUUGUAAGAUGGCCCGUUAAUUGCUUUUAGGUUCCCGUUUCGUGCUGCUUUCCUCCUACUCGCUCCUUCCCACAGCUAGCACGUAGUGGGCGCCAGUUACUAAAUUUUCCACCUCUGUCAAAUAUCAAAGAUGCAGGCGCGGUGACACUUGGCAUUGGUCCCAUGAGUUGACUCUGCUUUCAUGUUGUUAUUGUUGCUCUGGCUUUUAGUUUUAAAUUCUUUUAUUUUGUAUUGAAACAUGCGUCUCUCUUUGCUCUUUUUGGUCUUCCCGUCUCCACUAAUUACAUUACACAGUUAUGCAGUACAUAAAACACAACACAACAUUUCAGACUCACAAAAGGAGAAAGAUAUAGAUAGGAACCUGCUACAGGCUACAAAUGUAAGCGUAAGCUCGUGGUCAUCAAGUCGUAAAUGGAUUCAAUAACAAGACAAAGACGGCAAUUUCAUCAUCGCAGUGCGACAAAGUUUCGAACCUAAUAUAGUAAAGGCCAAUUUAUUCGCUAGUGCGGUUAGAGCCGACCUUGACAUGCGAGAAUUGGUUGCACAGUGAUGAACGUAGAGUAGUUUGAUAAAAAAAUUAUGUGCUGAUUUAGCGGUAAAUACGACAGGUAUGCGUUAGCAUUACGUGGCACCUUUUUGAGACGGUGAUCCGGAGUGAAGCAGACCACACGCACGCACAUGCAGACAAACACCUGUGCGCGCGAGCGCUCUUGUAAGCUCUCCCCUACUUACCUCUUCAACUUGACCGUCUACCCGCAGUUUACACACGCACACUUACACACACACUUUUUGUUUCACUUUUUUAUACUCCAAAUGCUGACGCAAUAUAAUAUAUUACCGGUAGCUGCGGUCGACUACGUAGCGUAGAUACCGCAGCCGCUGCAGGGUGCCGCCAUGAGUGCAUUGCGGCUCGCUGAGGACAACCGCGUUUGGCUUACGUUUAGUACAUCGUAGGAACCAAAAUUAGGAGUCGUGGCGUCUACGUCAGUGAUGCGAACUCUAGAUAUAUAUCCCUAGAUCUAGGGGC